GAACAUUAGGGAUUAACAGGAUAACGUGCUCCGACUCUUUCGGAAUAACGGAUUUAUUGUAACGAAGUCAAUGGUUUCCGAGUUAAUUUUGCAACACUCCGUUAUGUAAAGAGAAAGUAGAAAUGAAGGGCGAACGAUUUGGUAAUCGGUUCACGAAUAAUCGUGUGAGAGAGACCUUGGAGUUGGUGGCAGCGUUUCUCGACUUCUUGCGGCGAGAUUUCCGGGGUUUCGACACCACCGUUUGACCACCCUUGUUUAUGCGAUCCACGGCUGAAGCUGUUUGUCUAUCCACAGGAUUGGGGGCUUCCAACGAAUCCGCGUAUCUGGCGGAUUCCCGGUACUUGGGUUUCACGAAGAUCUUCGCAUACGUGACUCUCUUCUCGCCCAGAGUCUUCUUGUUCGGCGUUCGUGAGCUCGUGGAUCGCGUCAACAAAGAGCAAAGCCCGUUAGAUGCUUGUACAGGCUUGCAAGGAUUAUGGUUUUGGAUAUUUCGAUAAAAUAAAUGAGCAUCUUGAUUUGUCGUUGCCCUGACAAUAAAAUAUGACAAAAGACUGACUCCGGGCGAACUCCGUCAAAACGAGAAUAGACAGACUGUACCGGAAUCGUUUUCAUAAAUUGAAAUUACCAUUAUCGGGACGGUUGUAACGAUACGGUAAUAUUUAAGGUCGUUCGAAUUUCUUUCGAGUUUCUUUCGCCAAGCUUUGACAACUCAUUGACAAACAUAAAUGCAACCGUUAACGCACAGCGGUUACACAAUAGUCGUUUAUCAAUUAUAAAACCUGCCAACGUAACUGCGUUCGCAUUAAUUAUGAACGUUGCUUAGAAUAUUCAAGUUUGGUUUGUCCGUUGUGUAUGAUCGAAUAGUAACAGCCGCGUGUUUACAUGAUUCCUUCUAUCAUGCUAAAUGAUAUUUAAGUAAUGCCUAUUAUUGAAAAGCAAUUAUACUCGCAUUUCAUUAAAAACGAGUCGCUACCGGUUCCGACGCUACGAAUCUUUUUUUUCAGCUUGAUCGCUUCAAUACGAGCUUCAGAGAAUUCGAAUAUUGUGAUUUUUUUUUUGCGUAUAAUCCGUGGGAUUUUACAAUGAAUUGACUACCAGGCGACCUGAACUCUAAAAGUGUCGUAGCACGUGCUUUCUAAUACCCCGUCACUCGUACUCAAGGAUAGCAAUUAAGACGUCCUUUUCUCAUUUCGGAGCGUCCAGUCAUGGAUAAAGCAUGAACUUCGACAACAAGAAAUUACUGCAAGUCAAUCGGCUUAUUGCAUAACUACGUAAUCCUUGCUUCCUUUGCAGUUUUUUUUUAUCUCCAAAUGGAGACACUGUUCGCAUUAUUGGAAACGGUGGAAGACCAAAGUUCCUAGAGUUAUUAACGGCAUACGAAAGUGGAGAGAAUCGGGACACGUGCGAGAAUACAACUUUUCGCAUGGUGGGGACACAGAAUUUAUCUGCUAGCAGUUCUUAAGGCCCCAGUCUGCAGCCGUUCAGCACGUGUAGCAGCUCGUUGGAGUCGACUAGUCAAUGGAAGGCGGUCCUUAAAAAAAUUAUUCGACUAUAUUUAAAAAUGCUGGCUGUUAAACUUCUAAUUUUUAUCGCCGCCGUCUACUUGUCGUCAGGAUCGCCUGUGACACUCGAAGAGGGCGGGACUAAUAAUAAGAAAAAUGAAAGAAAAACUGGAGAUACUACUCUUCGUCUGGUUGUAGUGGUAAUGAGACAUGGAGAAAGAGCACCACAAGAUACUUAUCCAAAUGAUCCCUACCUAAAUGAUUCAAUGGAACCUUAUGGUUGGGGUCAACUGACGAAUGAGGGAAGACGAAGUCAGUAUAAUCAAGGACUUUUCCUACGCAAUCGUUACGAUGACUUCCUGGGACCAAUUUACAGUCCAGAAAUAUUUUAUCUACAAUCUACCGCGGUUGAUCGUACAAAGAUGUCUGCUUUGCUAGAAGCAGCUGCUCUGUGGAAACCAAACGAAAAGCAGUCUUUCAAAGCUGAUCUACCCUGGCAACCAGUCACCUUGUUUUAUCAACCACGUUCGGAAGAUACUUUAAUGUUAAUAUGGGAUACAUGCCCGAAAUAUACCAAGCUAAGACGCGCAAUUAUGUCUUUACCAGAAGUGCAAAAGAUUCAAAGUGAUAACACGAACUUGUACAAUGAAUUAACGAACUUAACAGGUAUGGCAAUAUCAUCUCCUGAAGACGUCAAUUCUCUUUAUGGAACAUUAACAGCCGAGAAACAAAUGAAUUUGACCCUUCCUGAAUGGACUGACGAUUACUAUCCUGAUAAGAUGGAACCAUUAACACUGUACGAUUUUGAACUGAAUGUAUAUAAUGAUCUUUUAAGACGACUCAAAGGUGGACCAUUCCUUAAGAAGAUCGUAACUGACAUGUUGGCGAAGAAAGAUAAUACUAUCGUUCCUGAACACAGGAAAAUGUUUAUGUAUAUCGGUCAUGAUAGUACAGUUGUAACUUUGUUGGAUGUUAUGCACGUAUGGAACAAUCAAAUGCCACAUUAUAAUAUUAUGACCAUGAUCGAAUUACACGAGGACAAAGAUGGUUGGAAUGUUCAAGUGUUCUUAAGAAACACAACUAAUCACGAACCUUAUUCGCUGACUAUUCCUGGUUGCGUAACGGUUUGUCCGCUUGACAAAUUUAUACAAAUUAUGAAACCAAUGAUACCAGAUGACUGGAAAGAAGAAUGCAAAGUUGAAGGAGAUUACACUCCUCCGCCUGCUCCAGUUCCUUGACUAUAAUUAUUUUAUUAACAGUGUAAAUGAAGAACAUUAUUUAAAAAAGUGGAAAAUAAUUAAAGAUGACUGCUGAAAUAGGAUCACAUUUCUUCACUUCGAUCCCAGACACUACAUCCAUAGAUCCUCAACUUAUACAAGCAGAAAUAAUACAAAAUUUAUUUCAGUAGCGAAUAUUUUUUCCUCUCUACGUUUUUUCGUUACUACUGUGCCAGGUUUAUGUUGCGCGUCUGGAUGAUUAAGUAGCUCUGGUGGACAAGUAGAAAUCGGACUUGCGAGGAUUGUUUGCUUAAGAUCGUAGAACAGAUGACUAUCGUCUUUAGUACAGAACGAAAUAGCAAGACCAGCCUUUCCUGCUCGACCAGUUCUACCAAUACGAUGCGUGUAAUCUAAAAACAAAGUUGGCUAAAAGUUUUUCCUCGUUUUCGGCGUCUUCGUUAUCUGGCUUCAAAUUUGUAACUGGCAUGUAUUCCAAAAUCUUCUGCACGUCUGGUUCAAAUCCCAUGUCUAUCAUUCUGUCGGCUUCGUCUAGUACUAUGUAUAUAAUGGAUAAUAUCUGCACAAUAACAAAUUGAUACCUCACAACCCAUUCUUAAUCUAAAGCCUUGUUCCUCUCUUGAAAGACCACCAACAACAACGACUGUUCUUAUACCUAAUGGUUGUCCAAACUUGUUAGUUUCUUCUUCUAUUUGUUGAGCCAAUUCACUAAAAACAUGUUUUAUAAAUAAGAAUAUACUUCAGGCAAUGCAUAUUAUAUAAUCUAACAUACCGGGUUGGUGCUAAAAUUAUACUGUAUGGACCCUGAUCCGCUUCUUCCAAUCUUUCAAUUUUUGGUAAGCUGGUAAUCCACAAUAGUAAUGGAAUUAAAAAUGCCAGAGUUUUACCAGAACCAGUUUCUGCAACACCAAUGAUAUCUCUAUUCUGAAGACCUAUAGGAAUGGCCUGUCUUUGAAUAGGUGUUAAGUCUUUGUAUCCAACUUUGUCAAUAAUAUCGAGAAUUUCCUUAGGGAAUCCUGAUUCUUUCCAUGAUCUAAUUGGAUCUGGUAUGCGACCUCCUUUUAUUGUAAUAUUGUAAUCUUCUCUAAAUAUACGCCAAUCUCUCUCAGUCAUUUCCUGAAGAG
Non-coding RNA from Nomia melanderi (Alkali bee), 3861 nucleotides. NCBI's taxonomy places the organism in Eukaryota, Metazoa, Arthropoda, Insecta, Hymenoptera, Halictidae. The record is from RefSeq and is a predicted model, not a curated record.